This 30-nucleotide non-coding RNA is filed under the name Mus musculus (house mouse). The record is from RNAcentral. Lineage: Eukaryota; Metazoa; Chordata; Mammalia; Rodentia; Muridae.
UUCAAGUUUUGUUUCCAUAUGUGGAGGGAA